UAUCAUUGACAGCUUCAUUUCUCACGUGCUUGUGCAAGUGCAUAGCUAAUUUGACACACUUGAUUUUUGUACCAUUUUAUGUCCUUCCUAGCUAUUUCCCUAUGCAAAUAUGAGGAUAACAUUGUAAACAUGUAUAAAAUAAUGUUGCACUUAUACAUGCAGUAUAAAUGUCAUGCUUUUGCAUGUUAUAUUUCACAACAUUGGUCUUAAAAAAAAAAUUGUUUUCUAAUAUUGCUAUUAAAGAAAAUGACAAUUGAGCAGCAUAAGGAUAUUGAGAAUGGAGAAACUAAUGGGUUUCAGUAUUUGCAAGAACCUUUCAUUCAACAAGGAAAGGAUGCAUGUAAAGAAGUUGGAUCAGAUAAAAGUAUGGAAAAUGGAUCCAUUGGAAUGGUUCUGCUUAGCACAUUUGUUGC
This 413-nucleotide long non-coding RNA is filed under the name Medicago truncatula (barrel medic). RNAcentral's name for it is "long non-coding RNA (MTRU_LNC008090)". The record is from RNAcentral. Lineage: Eukaryota; Viridiplantae; Streptophyta; Magnoliopsida; Fabales; Fabaceae.